GAUGAACGCUGGCGGCGUGCCUAAUACAUGCAAGUCGAGCGAACAGACGAGGAGCUUGCUCCUCUGACGUUAGCGGCGGACGGGUGAGUAACACGUGGAUAACCUACCUAUAAGACUGGGAUAACUUCGGGAAACCGGAGCUAAUACCGGAUAAUAUAUUGAACCGCAUGGUUCAAUAGUGAAAGACGGUUUUGCUGUCACUUAUAGAUGGAUCCGCGCCGCAUUAGCUAGUUGGUAAGGUAACGGCUUAUCAAGGCAACGAUGCGUAGCCGACCUGAGAGGGUGAUCGGCCACACUGGAACUGUGACACGGUCCAGACUCCUACGGGAGGCAGCAGUAGGGAAUCUUCCGCAAUGGGCGAAAGCCUGACGGAGCAACGCCGCGUGAGUGAUGAAGGUCUUCGGAUCGUAAAACUCUGUUAUUAGGGAAGAACAAAUGUGUAAGUAACUAUGCACGUCUUGACGGUACCUAAUCAGAAAGCCACGGCUAACUACGUG
Molecule: ribosomal RNA, 497 nt
Filed under: uncultured bacterium
Lineage: Bacteria
Description: partial 16S ribosomal RNA
Rfam family: Bacterial small subunit ribosomal RNA
Source: RNAcentral